RNAcentral lists this ribosomal RNA (330 nucleotides) under uncultured bacterium. RNAcentral's name for it is "bacterial SSU rRNA". It matches the Rfam family "Bacterial small subunit ribosomal RNA", at positions 568 to 898 of the family's 1533-position model. The record is from RNAcentral.
UGUGUAGGCGGUUCCCUAAGUCUGGUGUGAAAUCUCCCGGCUCAACUGGGAGGGUGCGCCGAAAACUGGGGGGCUAGAGUGUGGGAUGGGAGAGUGGAAUUCCUGGUGUAGCGGUGAAAUGCGUAGAUAUCAGGAGGAACACCUGUGGUGUAGACGGCUCUCUGGACCGCAACUGACGCUGAGACACGAAAGCGUGGGUAGCAAACAGGAUUAGAUACCCUGGUAGUCCACGCCCUAAACGAUGCAUAUUUGGUGUGGGCCAUUCAUUUGGUCCGUGCCGGAGCUAACGCGUUAAAUAUGCCGCCUGGGGAGUACGGUCGCAAGGCUGAA